CUACUGUAGGCGAAAAAGAAUUUACAAUGGCCGAGUGCAUCGCCAAUGCGACACAUGCAUUGUCAAAGAUCCAACGCAACGCAAUGCAUGGUGUGGCCUACACCAGCAUACAUCGGCCAACGAAGCAAACAAUGGAUCGAGAGCAGAAAGAAAGAUGGUUUUAUUUACAGGUGGAAACAACACGCAUGAGGACAUGAGGUCGGUCCUGCCUAUAAAAAAACAAUAAUAUACCUGUCACUCAUGCUCUUCUGGGAGUGUGUCUGCGACUGCGAGUACGGAGAGAACAAAGGAUUGCUCUGGCUUGCAAGCAACUUCUGACCAACCAAGUCCAACCAGCUCCUCGUUUGUCCGCCACACGAGCCGACGAACGGGCCAGCAAACUCCAUGACACACCCCAGCACGAGCUCGGAGCACACGAGGACGACGACAUUUGAACAACUUCAUUGCACUUUCAUCGACAAUCACAGUUCCAAAACGAAGGAGGGGAUUGAUCCUCUCGUGGCAGUGGCACCAACGUCUAACGCUAAUUGAGCAAGCGGUUUUUUUUUACAUACAAUGGUGGCA
RNAcentral lists this long non-coding RNA (564 nucleotides) under Triticum aestivum (bread wheat). RNAcentral describes it as "long non-coding RNA (TAES_LNC007301)". Lineage: Eukaryota; Viridiplantae; Streptophyta; Magnoliopsida; Poales; Poaceae. The record is from RNAcentral.